UCAGGCCUAACACAUGCAAGUCGAACUAGCUCUAGCGCAAGUUAGAGUGGGUGGCGGACGGGUGAGGAACGCGUAAGAACCUACCCCUAGGAGGAGGAUAACUGCUGGAAACGGCAGCUAAUACUCCAUAUGCUGAGGAGCAAAAGGUCGAAAGACCGCCAAGGGAUGGGCUUGCGUCUGAUUAGCUAGUUGGUGAGGUAAAUGCUUACCAAGGCGACGAUCAGUAGCUGGUCUGAGAGGAUGAUCAGCCACACUGGGACUGAGACACGGCCCAGACUCCUACGGGAGGCAGCAGUGAGGAAUUU
Molecule: ribosomal RNA, 305 nt
Filed under: uncultured bacterium
Lineage: Bacteria
Description: bacterial SSU rRNA
Rfam family: Bacterial small subunit ribosomal RNA
Source: RNAcentral